AGAGUUUGAUCAUGGCUCAGAUUGAACGCUGGCGGCAGGCCUAACACAUGCAAGUCGAACGGUAACAGGAAGCAGCUUGCUGCUUUGCUGACGAGUGGCGGACGGGUGAGUAAUGUCUGGGAAACUGCCUGAUGGAGGGGGAUAACUACUGGAAACGGUGGCUAAUACCGCAUAACGUCGCAAGACCAAAGAGGGGGACCUUCGGGCCUCUUGCCAUCAGAUGUGCCCAGAUGGGAUUAGCUUGUUGGUGAGGUAACGGCUCACCAAGGCGACGAUCCCUAGCUGGUCUGAGAGGAUGACCAGCCACACUGGAACUGAGACACGGUCCAGACUCCUACGGGAGGCAGCAGUGGGGAAUAUUGCACAAUGGGCGCAAGCCUGAUGCAGCCAUGCCGCGUGUAUGAAGAAGGCCUUCGGGUUGUAAAGUACUUUCAGCGGGGAGGAAGGUGUUGUGGUUAAUAACCGCAGCAAUUGACGUUACCCGCAGAAGAAGCACCGGCUAACUCCGUGCCAGCAGCCGCGGUAAUACGGAGGGUGCAAGCGUUAAUCGGAAUUACUGGGCGUAAAGCGCACGCAGGCGGUCUGUCAAGUCGGAUGUGAAAUCCCCGGGCUCAACCUGGGAACUGCAUUCGAAACUGGCAGGCUUGAGUCUUGUAGAGGGGGGUAGAAUUCCAGGUGUAGCGGUGAAAUGCGUAGAGAUCUGGAGGAAUACCGGUGGCGAAGGCGGCCCCCUGGACAAAGACUGACGCUCAGGUGCGAAAGCGUGGGGAGCAAACAGGAUUAGAUACCCUGGUAGUCCACGCCGUAAACGAUGUCUACUUGGAGGUUGUGCCCUUGAGGCGUGGCUUCCGGAGCUAACGCGUUAAGUAGACCGCCUGGGGAGUACGGCCGCAAGGUUAAAACUCAAAUGAAUUGACGGGGGCCCGCACAAGCGGUGGAGCAUGUGGUUUAAUUCGAUGCAACGCGAAGAACCUUACCUGGUCUUGACAUCCACGGAAGAAUUCAGAGAUGGAUUUGUGCCUUCGGGAACCGUGAGACAGGUGCUGCAUGGCUGUCGUCAGCUCGUGUUGUGAAAUGUUGGGUUAAGUCCCGCAACGAGCGCAACCCUUAUCCUUUGUUGCCAGCGGUCCGGCCGGGAACUCAAAGGAGACUGCAGUGAUAAACUGGAGGAAGGUGGGGAUGACGUCAAGUCAUCAUGGCCCUUACGACCAGGGCUACACACGUGCUACAAUGGCGCAUACAAAGAGAAGCGACCUCGCGAGAGCAAGCGGACCUCAUAAAGUGCGUCGUAGUCCGGAUUGGAGUCUGCAACUCGACUCCAUGAAGUCGGAAUCGCUAGUAAUCGUGGAUCAGAAUGCCACGGUGAAUACGUUCCCGGGCCUUGUACACACCGCCCGUCACACCAUGGGAGUGGGUUGCAAAAGAAGUAGGUAGCUUAACCUUCGGGAGGGCGCUUACCACUUUGUGAUUCAUGACUGGGGUGAAGUCGUAACAAGGUAACCGUAGGGGAACCUGCGGUUGGAUCACCU
RNAcentral lists this ribosomal RNA (1529 nucleotides) under Salmonella enterica subsp. enterica. Its description in RNAcentral is "bacterial SSU rRNA". It matches the Rfam family "Bacterial small subunit ribosomal RNA". Lineage: Bacteria; Pseudomonadati; Pseudomonadota; Gammaproteobacteria; Enterobacterales; Enterobacteriaceae. The record is from RNAcentral.